Molecule: transfer RNA, 73 nt
Filed under: Phycisphaerae bacterium
Lineage: Bacteria; Pseudomonadati; Planctomycetota; Phycisphaerae
Also listed under: 1 other name
Description: tRNA-Ile
Rfam family: tRNA
About the family: Transfer RNA (tRNA) molecules are approximately 80 nucleotides in length. Their secondary structure includes four short double-helical elements and three loops (D, anti-codon, and T loops). Further hydrogen bonds mediate the characteristic L-shaped molecular structure. tRNAs have two regions of fundamental functional importance: the anti-codon, which is responsible for specific mRNA codon recognition, and the 3' end, to which the tRNAs corresponding amino acid is attached (by aminoacyl-tRNA synthetases). tRNAs cope with the degeneracy of the genetic code in two manners: having more than one tRNA (with a specific anti-codon) for a particular amino acid; and 'wobble' base-pairing, i.e. permitting non-standard base-pairing at the 3rd anti-codon position.
Source: RNAcentral
GGGGCAGUAGCUCAGUGGUUAGAGCGGGUGUCUUAUAAGCACCAAGUCGGUGGUUCGAUUCCGCCCUGCCCUA